CAGGGGUUAGUUUAGAUAAAACUACCAAUUUCGACUUGGAAGACCCCGGCUCAACCCGGGGCCCCAAA
This 68-nucleotide transfer RNA is filed under the name Bipes canaliculatus. RNAcentral's name for it is "tRNA-Arg". The record is from RNAcentral. Lineage: Eukaryota; Metazoa; Chordata; Lepidosauria; Squamata; Bipedidae.